RNAcentral lists this ribosomal RNA (429 nucleotides) under uncultured archaeon. RNAcentral's name for it is "bacterial SSU rRNA". It matches the Rfam family "Archaeal small subunit ribosomal RNA", at positions 474 to 903 of the family's 1478-position model. The record is from RNAcentral.
UACCUGCAGCUCGAGUGGUAACCGCUACUAUUGGGCCUAAAGCGUCCGUAGCCGGUUUGGUAAAUAUCUGGGUAAAUCGUGAGGCUUAACUUCACGAAUUUCGGAUAGACUGUCAGACUUGGGAUCGGGGGAGGUCAGAGGUACUCCAGGGGUAGCGGUGAAAUGUUGUAAUCCUUGGAGGACCACCGGUAGCGAAGGCGUCUGACUAGAACGAGUCCGACGGUGAGGGACGAAGCCCUGGGGCGCAAACCGGAUUAGAUACCCGGGUAGUCCAGGGUGUAAACAAUGCGGGCUUUGUAUUGGAGGUUCCACGUGGGCGUCCAGUGCAGAAGAGAAGUUGUUAAGCCCACCGCCUGGGAAGUACGGUCGCAAGGCUGAAACUUAAAGGAAUUGGCGGGGGAGCACAGCAACGGGAGGAGCGUGCGGUUU